This 254-nucleotide ribosomal RNA is filed under the name uncultured bacterium. RNAcentral describes it as "partial 16S ribosomal RNA". It matches the Rfam family "Bacterial small subunit ribosomal RNA", at positions 524 to 777 of the family's 1533-position model. The record is from RNAcentral.
GACAGAGGGUGCAAACGUUGCUCGGAAUCACUGGGCGUAAAGGGUGCGUAGGCGGGUCUUUAAGUCAGGGGUGAAAUCCUGGAGCUCAACUCCAGAACUGCCUUUGAUACUGAAGAUCUUGAGUUCGGGAGAGGUGAGUGGAACUGCGAGUGUAGAGGUGAAAUUCGUAGAUAUUCGCAAGAACACCAGUGGCGAAGGCGGCUCACUGGCCCGAUACUGACGCUGAGGCACGAAAGCGUGGGGAGCAAACAGGG